RNAcentral lists this ribosomal RNA (468 nucleotides) under uncultured bacterium. RNAcentral describes it as "partial 16S ribosomal RNA". It matches the Rfam family "Bacterial small subunit ribosomal RNA", at positions 28 to 507 of the family's 1533-position model. The record is from RNAcentral.
GACGAACGCUGGCGGCGUGCUUAACACAUGCAAGUCGAACGGAAAGGCCCUGCUUUUGUGGGGUGCUCGAGUGGCGAACGGGUGAGUAACACGUGAGUAACCUGCCCUUGACUUUGGGAUAACUUCAGGAAACUGGGGCUAAUACCGGAUAGGCGCUCCUGCUGCAUGUUGGGGGUUGGAAAGUUUCGGCGGUUGGGGAUGGACUCGCGGCUUAUCAGCUUGUUGGUGGGGUAGUGGCUUACCAAGGCUUUGACGGGUAGCCGGCCUGAGAGGGUGACCGGCAACAUUGGGAUGGAGAUACGGCCAAGACUCCUACGGGAGGAAGAAGUGGGGAAUAUUGAAAAAUGGGCGGAAGCCUGAUGCAGGAACGCCGCGUGCGGGAUGACGGCCUUCGGGUGGUAAACCGCUUUCGCAUGUGACGAAGCGUGAGUGACGGUAAUGGGUAAAGAAGCACCGGCUAACUACGUG